Molecule: transfer RNA, 73 nt
Filed under: Neurospora crassa
Lineage: Eukaryota; Fungi; Ascomycota; Sordariomycetes; Sordariales; Sordariaceae
Also listed under: 8 other names
Description: tRNA-Val (CAC) (tRNA-Val-CAC-4-1)
Rfam family: tRNA
About the family: Transfer RNA (tRNA) molecules are approximately 80 nucleotides in length. Their secondary structure includes four short double-helical elements and three loops (D, anti-codon, and T loops).
Source: RNAcentral
AGUCGUAUGGUCUAAUGGUUAUGAUUUCUCGUUCACACCGAGAAGGUUCUGGGUUCGAUCCCCAGUACGACUA